RNAcentral lists this ribosomal RNA (450 nucleotides) under uncultured bacterium. Its description in RNAcentral is "bacterial SSU rRNA". It matches the Rfam family "Bacterial small subunit ribosomal RNA", at positions 355 to 796 of the family's 1533-position model. The record is from RNAcentral.
UGGGGAAUCUUGCGCAAUGGACGAAAGUCUGACGCAGCCACGCCGCGUGAGUGAAGAAGGCCUUCGGGUUGUAAAGCUCUGUCGAGCGGGACGAAAAAUUUUUAGGUGAAUAGCCUAGAGAUCUGACGGUACCGCUAAAGGAAGCACCGGCUAACUCCGUGCCAGCAGCCGCGGUAAUACGGAGGGUGCAAGCGUUGCUCGGAAUUAUUGGGCGUAAAGGGUAGGUAGGUGGUCUCAUUUGUCUGGGGUGAAAGCCUUGAGCUUAACUCAAGAAGUGCCCCAGAAACGGUGAGACUGGAGUCCUGGAGAGGGUCGUGGAAUUCCCGGUGUAGCGGUGAAAUGCGUAGAGAUCGGGAGGAACACCAGAGGCGAAGGCGGCGACCUGGACAGGUACUGACACUCAACUACGAAAGCGUGGGGAGCAAACAGGAUUAGAUACCCCCGUAGUCC